UCUCCUAGAGCUGCGGAAC
Molecule: small nuclear RNA, 19 nt
Filed under: Arabidopsis thaliana (thale cress)
Lineage: Eukaryota; Viridiplantae; Streptophyta; Magnoliopsida; Brassicales; Brassicaceae
Description: snRNA_08540
Source: RNAcentral